AGAGUUUGAUCAUGGCUCAGAGCGAACGCUGGCGGCAGGCCUAACACAUGCAAGUCGAGCGCCCGUAGCAAUACGAGAGCGGCAGACGGGAGAGUAACACGUGGGAACGCGCCCUUCGGUUCGGAAUAACUCAGGGAAACUUGAGCUAAUACCGGAUACGCCCUUACGGGAAAAGAUUUAUUGCCGAAGGAACGGCCCGCGUCCGAUUAGCUAGUUGGUGAGGUAACGGCUCACCAAGGCGACGAUCGGUAGCUGGUCUGAGAGGAUGACCAGCCUCACUGGGACUGAGACGCGGCCCAGACUCCUACGGGAGGCAGCAGUGGGGAAUAUUGGACAAUGGGCGCAAGCCUGAUCCAGCCAUGCCGCGUGGAUGAUGAAGGCCCUAGGGUUGUAAAGUCCUUUUAACGGGGAAGAUAAUGACGGUACCCGUAGAAUAAGCCCCGGCUAACUUCGUGCCAGCAGCCGCGGUAAUACGAAGGGGGCUAGCGUUGCUCGGAAUUACUGGGCGUAAAGCGCACGUAGGCGGCUUUCUAAGUCGGGGGUGAAAUCCUGGAGCUCAACUCCAGAACUGCCUUCGAUACUGGAGAGCUCGAGUUCGGGAGAGGUGAGUGGAACUGCGAGUGUAGAGGUGAAAUUCGUAGAUAUUCGCAAGAACACCAGUGGCGAAGGCGGCUCACUGGCCCGAUACUGACGCUGAGGUGCGAAAGCGUGGGGGGCAAACAGGAUUAGAUACCCUGGUAGUCC
RNAcentral lists this ribosomal RNA (744 nucleotides) under uncultured bacterium. RNAcentral describes it as "bacterial SSU rRNA". It matches the Rfam family "Bacterial small subunit ribosomal RNA", at positions 8 to 796 of the family's 1533-position model. The record is from RNAcentral.